UACGAAGGGGGCUAGCGUUGUUCGGAAUCACUGGGCGUAAAGCGCACGUAGGCGGAUUGUUAAGUCGGGGGUGAAAUCCUGAGGCUCAACCUCAGAACUGCCUUUGAUACUGAGGAGCUUGAGUCCGGGAGAGGUGAGUGGAACUGCGAGUGUAGAGGUGAAAUUCGUAGAUAUUCGCAAGAACACCAGUGGCGAAGGCGGCUCACUGGCCCGGUCCUGACGCUGAGGCGCGAAAGCGUGGGGAGCAAACAGG
Molecule: ribosomal RNA, 253 nt
Filed under: uncultured bacterium
Lineage: Bacteria
Description: partial 16S ribosomal RNA
Rfam family: Bacterial small subunit ribosomal RNA
Source: RNAcentral